CAGCGGUAGAGAGAAGCUUGCUUCUCUUGAGAGCGGCGGACGGGUGAGUAAUGCCUAGGAAUCUGCCUGGUAGUGGGGGAUAACGUUCGGAAACGGACGCUAAUACCGCAUACGUCCUACGGGAGAAAGCAGGGGACCUUCGGGCCUUGCGCUAUCAGAUGAGCCUAGGUCGGAUUAGCUAGUUGGUGGGGUAAUGGCUCACCAAGGCGACGAUCCGUAACUGGUCUGAGAGGAUGAUCAGUCACACUGGAACUGAGACACGGUCCAGACUCCUACGGGAGGCAGCAGUGGGGAAUAUUGGACAAUGGGCGAAAGCCUGAUCCAGCCAUCGCCGCGUGUGUGAAGAAGGUCUUCGGAUUGUAAAGCACUUUAAGUUGGGAGGAAGGGUUGUAGAUUAAUACUCUGCAAUUUUGACGUUACCGACAGAAUAAGCACCGGCUUACUCUGUG
This 449-nucleotide ribosomal RNA is filed under the name uncultured bacterium. RNAcentral describes it as "bacterial SSU rRNA". It matches the Rfam family "Bacterial small subunit ribosomal RNA", at positions 64 to 507 of the family's 1533-position model. The record is from RNAcentral.